This 468-nucleotide ribosomal RNA is filed under the name uncultured bacterium. Its description in RNAcentral is "partial 16S ribosomal RNA". It matches the Rfam family "Bacterial small subunit ribosomal RNA", at positions 28 to 507 of the family's 1533-position model. The record is from RNAcentral.
GACGAACGCUGGCGGCGUGCUUAACACAUGCAAGUCGAACGGAAAGGCCCUGCUUUUGUGGGGUGCUCGAGUGGCGAACGGGUGAGUAACACGUGAGUAACCUGCCCUCGACUUUGGGAUAACUUCAGGAAACUGGGGCUAAUACCGGAUAGGAGCUCCUGCUGCAUGGUGGGGGUUGGAAAGUUUCGGCGGUUGGGGAUGGACUCGCGGCUUAUCAGCUUGUUGGUGGGGUAAUGGCUUACCAAGGCUUUGACGGGUAGCCGGCCUGAGAGGGUGACCGGCCACAUUGGGACUGAGAUACGGCCCAGACUCCUACGGGAGGCAGCAGUGGGGAAUAUUGCACAAUGGGCGGAAGCCUGAUGCAGCAACGCCGCGUGCGGGAUGACGGCCUUCGGGUUGUAAACCGCUUUCGCCUGUGACGAAGCGUGAGUGACGGUAAUGGGUAAAGAAGCACCGGCUAACUACGUG